AAAGGUAUGGCUCAGUGGUAGAGUGCAUGCCUGGCAGGCCUGAGAUCCUGGGUUCAAUCCCCAUACCUCCA
This 71-nucleotide transfer RNA is filed under the name Camelus bactrianus (Bactrian camel). It matches the Rfam family "tRNA". Rfam says of the family: Transfer RNA (tRNA) molecules are approximately 80 nucleotides in length. RNAcentral also lists the same sequence under 2 other names. The record is from Rfam by way of RNAcentral. Lineage: Eukaryota; Metazoa; Chordata; Mammalia; Artiodactyla; Camelidae.